AAAAAUAUAUUUUCAACCCCCCAAUCGUUGUCUUCCAUUUUCGUGUUGUUCGCUUGCAGAACGAGAAAAUUUUUGUUGCGAUGUUUUAAAACAAAUCGCCUUUAAUUUUAUUAAGGAAAAUUAAGCGAAAAACCCAAACAACAAAACAAGUGCAAUGUAAAGUGUGCGAAUUAAUGGAGCAAUUAGAUAAAUCGGAGGCAGAAAUUGUCAACAAAAUUUACACGCAGGUGCGUAUGGGCACGCAGACGUGACAGCAACGGGUCAACUGGGCCUGCUUGCUCCGUGCAAAAAUUUCGAACAUCUUACAACCGUCUAUCUAAAGCGAACAUCUCUACAUCUGUCAACGCCUACAACAUAUUUCUUCUAUCUAUAAUAUAAGACAAAGACCACAAAACGAAUUAAGCCACUGGGAGGAAGACAAGGACGAUACGAAGAGAAGAAGUGCAAUAAACUAAACCAAAAAUCAUUUGUAUUACUUUUAAGUGAAACGAAACCAAAGAUUGGGAAUAAUCCCAUAAGAUAAGGAGAGGGCUGUCACGCACAUAGUUGGGAAGCCCUUUUCGAAACCCCCCC
This is a long non-coding RNA of Stomoxys calcitrans (stable fly), 573 nucleotides long. RefSeq lists it as uncharacterized. Lineage: Eukaryota; Metazoa; Arthropoda; Insecta; Diptera; Muscidae. The record is from RefSeq and is a predicted model, not a curated record. The transcript has 2 exons.